UGGGGAAUAUUGGACAAUGGGCGCAAGCCUGAUGCAGCCAUGCCGCGUGUAUGAAGAAGGCCUUCGGGUUGUAAAGUACUUUCAGCGAGGAGGAAGGCGUUGUGGUUAAUAACCGCAGCGAUUGACGUUACUCGCAGAAGAAGCACCGGCUAACUCCGUGCCAGCAGCCGCGGUAAUACGGAGGGUGCAAGCGUUAAUCGGAAUUACUGGGUGUAAAGCGCACGCAGGCGGUCUGUCAAGUCGGAUGUGAAAUCCCCGGGCUCAACCUGGGAACUGCAUCCGAAACUGGCAGGCUAGAGUCUUGUAGAGGGGGGUAGAAUUCCAGGUGUAGCGGUGAAAUGCGUAGAGAUCUGGAGGAAUACCGGUGGCGAAGGCGGCCCCCUGGACAAAGACUGACGCUCAGGUGCGAAAGCGUGGGGAGCAAACA
This 427-nucleotide ribosomal RNA is filed under the name uncultured bacterium. RNAcentral's name for it is "partial 16S ribosomal RNA". It matches the Rfam family "Bacterial small subunit ribosomal RNA", at positions 355 to 774 of the family's 1533-position model. The record is from RNAcentral.